AUAAUUACCUGGCAGGGGAGAUACCAUGAUCAUGAAGGUGGUUUUCCCAGGGCCAGGUUUAUCUAUUGCACUCCGGAUGUGCUAAACUCUGCGAUUUCCCCAAAUGCAGGAAAAUCCACUACAUAAUUUGUGAUAGUGGGGGAGUGCAUUCGCGCUUUACCCCG
Octodon degus (degu) is the source of this 164-nucleotide small nuclear RNA. Its record names the gene U1. It matches the Rfam family "U1 spliceosomal RNA". Rfam says of the family: U1 is a small nuclear RNA (snRNA) component of the spliceosome (involved in pre-mRNA splicing). Its 5' end forms complementary base pairs with the 5' splice junction, thus defining the 5' donor site of an intron. The record is from Ensembl. Lineage: Eukaryota; Metazoa; Chordata; Mammalia; Rodentia; Octodontidae.